This 749-nucleotide ribosomal RNA is filed under the name uncultured fungus. Its description in RNAcentral is "SSU rRNA". It matches the Rfam family "Eukaryotic small subunit ribosomal RNA", at positions 564 to 1322 of the family's 1831-position model. The record is from RNAcentral. Lineage: Eukaryota; Fungi.
GUGCCAGCAGCCGCGGUAAUUCCAGCUCCAAUAGCGUAUAUUAAAGUUGUUGUGGUUAAAAAGCUCGUAGUUGAACCUUGGGCCUGGCUGGCCGGUCCGCCUCACCGCGUGCACUGGUCCGGCCGGGCCUUUCCCUCUGUGGAACCCCAUACCCUUCACUGGGCGUGGCGGGGAAACAGGACAUUUACUUUGAAAAAAUUAGAGUGCUCCAGGCAGGCCUAUGCUCGAAUACAUUAGCAUGGAAUAAUAAAAUAGGACGCGCGGUUCUAUUUUGUUGGUUUAUAGGACCGCCGUAAUGAUUAAUAGGGACAGUCGGGGGCAUCAGUAUUCAACUGUCAGAGGUGAAAUUCUUGGAUCAGUUGAAGACUAACUACUGCGAAAGCAUUUGCCAAGGAUGUUUUCAUUAAUCAGGAACGAAAGUUAGGGGAUCGAAGACGAUCAGAUACCGUCGUAGUCUUAACCAUAAACUAUGCCGACUAGGGAUCGGACGGUGUUAUUCAUGACCCGUUCGGCACCUUACGAGAAAUCAAGGUGCUUGGGCUCCAGGGGGAGUAUGGUCGCAAGGCUGAAACUUAAAGAAAUUGACGGAAGGGCACCACCAGGGGUGGAGCCUGCGGCUUAAUUUGACUCAACACGGGGAAACUCACCAGGUCCAGACACAAUAAGGAUUGACAGAUUGAGAGCUCUUUCUUGAUUUUGUGGUGGUGUGCAUGGCCGUUCUUAGUUGGUGGGGUGACUUGUCUGCUUAA